AUUUGGGCAAACUAUGUAAUUAUUAAGCAUUAAGUUGACAAAAAGUUGAAGUUAAGCUAGUUUACCGUCUGAAAAGCUAAAGGUCUAGAACCAGUAAUCCCAACGACGUGUAUUAUUUACAAGAAAGUAGUAGAGAAGAUGAGUCAUUUCAACGUAGGAAUGGAUAUGUCGGAAAAAACGCUCAUGAAUCCUUUGAUUUUGGACAAAAUAUUCUCCCAUCUGGAUUUUACCACGUUGAAGACGUCCGUCCGUCUCGUCUGCACUGUUUGGGCCCACACAAGCACCCCCAUUCUUGGACGGAAAGCCCUCGUCACCUUCUCCGACUGUAAGAACAUGACCAUUUUCAACUAAAAGCUUGCCACGAAUAUUUCCAUAUCCUUGGAUUCAAACUGUACUUGUCUGCGCAAUUGUAAAUUCAGAUUCCCGAAACCCGAAUUAAUACCGUCCCGUAUUAUUAUCACACCCGAUAUUUUUAACCAUUUAACUGAAUUACACCUCUCAGCAGCAAGUAAAUUCGAACCACCCGGCCAGGAAGAUUGGUGUGAAAGAAUAUCGAGGAACCGUUACUCCAUUUUGGUUGACAGCUGGGAGGACGAGGUCGCCUUGAGAGGGCCAAGAUUUCGACCCCUCCCAAAGCUCAGGGUGCUUUCCUUUACCAUAGGCGGUCCAAGGGGUCAACACUAUCCAUCUCUCGGCCCGAAAGCAAUAUUACAAGAGCUGCUUAAUUCUGCACCCAACAUAGAAGAGCUCACGAUAUCUAUGUUUGAACGAAGUCUAGAUUGGGAAUCAUCUAGCACAACGUUGAAGAUUUUGAAGUACAGCGUGUGUCUCUAUCCCUUUAGACCAAACGAUUUUUAUUAUCGUCCUCGCACAGCUUUUUCCGCCUCCAUAGUAUUGGGCAGAUUUGCGAAGUCUUUGGAAAAGCUUGAAUUUCUUGAGUAUGCAAAUCCUCAGGGCUUUGCUGAAGUAUGUAGAUGUGCAUUACCCGUCGAAUUUUCAAUAUAUGUCAUCUUAAAUAUAGGUUGUACGUACAUACAUAUAAUUCCUAACCACACUCUAAAUAAAGUUGAGUAAAUCUGGUUGAGUAAAGUGAAAUUGGUCAAGUUUUGUACAAAGUUAGACAAAAUUUAAACUUGAAAAGAGUAAAAUUUACACAACAAAGUUGAGUAAAGCAAGUUUUAGUCAACAUUGAACAAAAUUUGACUUUUUUGCUGAGUAAAUAUAAAAUUAAACAGUGUUGGGUGAUAAAUGCCCAAAGGUUGAUAAAUUUUUACUCAACAGUUGUGUAAAAUCAACUCUCCCCACUUGGCAUCUUUUUCAGCCACAGGUAUGCCGCCAGUUGGUUACAACCAUUCACACGAGAAACAAGAGUAAAUACAUUUCUCUUUUUUUGAAAUUUACAAAAAAUGACUCAGCGAUUGGAAAAAGCUCUUGAAUCUACCGGCUUAACCCAAUACGCAGAUAAGUUCAAAGAGAACGAUGUUGACGACACCGUUUUUUAAAGUUUCUGGACGGUGCAGCUGGAUCAGUGGAGGAACGUUUGUUUGCUGAAAUUAUCCCAUCAGUUGGUCACAGAUUUAAGUUAAUUACAUCAGCUAGAGAGGUUAGUAGAUUAGAGUUAGGUCCGAAUUUUAAGUGUAGUAUUUGCGGAAGUAAUUUCAAUUGUUUUAAAGAGUAUUGGUGCCACAUUAGAGUAUUUCAUGAGGUCUCAAAAGGGAAGGUAAGGUUAAAGUGUCCUUUAUGUUCAAUGAUUUUUACUGACUCUGAAAAUCUUCAAAAACACGUCCAAAGAAAAGUUUGCCCUGUAAUUCAAAAAGUUUCAAGACAAGUUGAUUAUAUUUUUCCUGAUGAAAUGAAUGACACUGAGACAAGUCUUCACGAAUUAUUUUCCGCUCAAGUCAUUCGAGAAAUUAAUGCCGAUUACAAGUUAGCUUUUUUAAAAUCGUUACAAAUGUCAGGUGGAAUUUCCUUGUCAAAAUCAAAUGAAAUUUUAUCUUCUGCCAAUACGUUAGUUAAUAGUAUAAUUGAAAUGACAAAAAACUUUACAAAAAAUAUAACAAAUCCAGAUGAACUUUUGAUUCAGUUGAAUAAUUUGAGAGACCCAUUUCCAAAAAAUUCUUCAUCCCAAUAUCAGCUGGAAAAAUUAUUGAAAGAAAAAUCCUUUUUUGUAGAAGCAAAAGAGAUAAAAUUGGGGUCCCACUGGAAAUUUGAUAAAGGGAAAGGGAUAAUGCGAGAAAAAAUUGACAACAUUUAUCACUUUCAAUUAUUUAAGACUUUGCCAGCAAUUCUUGCAAAAUAUUAUAAAGUUGCAGAUAAUAAACAAAUCAAUCGAGAUUCAGAACUGUUUGAAAGUUUUAAGUCAGGUGAACUUUUCAAAAGUUUCAGAAAUAAUCCUCUCUGUUUGCAGAUUUACUACGAUGAUGUUGAAAUCUGCAACCCUUUAGGAUCAAAGUCUAAAAUUCACAAACUUGCAAUGUUUUAUUUUGUGAUCGCCAAUUUUCCCAGCCAUCUAAAUUCUAGACUUGAAAAUAUUUUUCCACUUUUAGUUGUAAAAUCCAAAUUUGUCAAAGAAUAUGGAAUGAAUUUAGUCUUGCACCCAUUAGUUUGCGAAUUAAAUUUAUUACAUGAAAACUCUCCAAACUUGAGUUUCCUGGAAAGUAGUCCAUUUAGUCAUAUUCAAGUUCUCCAGUUUUGUGGUGAUAAUCUUGGGUUGCAUACCAUUUUUGGCUUUGCUGAAAGUUUUAAUGCAAACUUUAGAUGUCGGUUUUGUAAGCUGGAAAAGGAACAAACAUUUAUAGCCAUAGAGGAGGACGUAACUAAAAGGCGAAUUUUAGUAGAUUAUGAAAGGGAUUUACAAGUGGCAAACGUUAGCUUGACGGGAAUUAAGGAAAGAUCAAUUGUAAAUGAUAUUAAGGGGUUUCAUGUUACGUCUAAUUUUGCACCCGACAUUAUGCACGAUAUUUUGGAAGGAGUUUGUCUCAUUGAAUUAAAAUUGGUCCUAAAGCAUGUUACUCAAAACCACAUUUUAUCACUUACUGAGAUUAACCACAGGCUGUCGUCUUCAUUAAAAAAGAAUGGUCAUGCAAUAUCAAGGUUGCCAGAAAUUGAUGUUGCGUUUGUUGAUGGCGACAAAAAAACAUGCUUCUCUGCAUCAGAGACAAGUCAUUUUUUUCUUGUUUUUCCCGCAAUAUUUGGUGAUAAGUUUAACAUGAAUGAUAAGCACUGGGAUUUAGUUCUAAAACUUCGUAGAAUUUUACGUAUUUUAAUGGCACCUCAAAUAAGUAGCUCGGGGGUUCGCUUGUUAAAUUAUUUAAUAGGGGAGCAUCAUCAGUCGUUCAUUAAUUUGACACAUAAAAAUUUAACUCCAAAAUUUCAUCAUUUACUGCAUUAUGCUCACGCCAUAGAGCAAUUGGGACCCCUAAAACAAUAUUGGUGUAUGCGGUUUGAGGCUAAACAUCGUCUUGCAAAAACAAUAGGUAAAAAUUGUUUCAAUUUCAGGAAUAUUGCGAAAACAGUGUCAAAGAGAAUAUCGCUUAAUUUGGCAUUUUCAUUUGGUGGGGAAUUAGGAGGAGACGUAAACUAUGGAUCGGGGUCAAGAAUUGCAUUUAAGGAUAUGAAAGUAUCUUUUGAUUUUUCCAAACUUUCCCAAAAUGCAUCUCAAAAAGUACUUUGUGUUGACUCAGUAAACAUUUAUGGCACCAAAGUCAAACCUCAAAAUUAUUUCAUUUUGAAAGGGGCAUCUCUGAGUUCACAAUUUUGUCAGAUUUGCAUGUGUGUAGUUCAUAACGAGAAGGUUCAUUUAGUUGUGAGACCAGUAAAGUGUGAAGAGCAAUUUAGUUUUUCAUAUACGUUUAAAAUAAUAGAUUUUGCAAAUCCAAUCUUAGUAGACCCUGACGCAAUAGAUUUGGAAUAUCCGUUAGUUAUUGUGAAUAGCAUAGGUGAUCCUGAAGGUCAUGGUGUCAUCUGUUGUCCUAUUGAGUUAAUCUAAGGUGGUUUUUCUUUGCGUAUGUAUAUAGGGAGUGACGAUAAUACGCUUUUUUCUGUUAACCUCAUUUGUAGAUUUCUAUGUACAUAUUUAGGUAGGUAAACAAACUUCUGAAACAGACCAGCGGGCACCUGGAGAAAUGCUUAACGUAGUUCUGGUCGAAGGCACUUCCAAUACUUUGGACUCCGACAAUCAAAAUCAGCCGCCUAACGACGAUAGAGUCGACGUUGAAAUUUCAUUCGUAGAUUUUACUCCCUUGUUUGAUGUAAGGCAAAUUAUCCUAACCUCUGAUCAACAAAAGGGAACAACAAAGGGAAAGCAAAUCCUUGAAGAAUGUUUGGAAUCCAAUAUCGUCACGUUUGAAGCUAAAAGCCUUAUUAAACGUCGAGUGGUCAACCUUCUUAUUCAGCAAUACACAUAUUUGUAAGCUUGGUUGUAGAAAAUUAACUUCCAAAACAUAUCAAACAAAAUCUGGCCGAAUGUGUCGCUGCACAACUAUUUCAAAAUUUACCAACCGUCCAACGGAGAGAUAUUAUGAAUCUUUUCUACCAGGAAUCAAGGGUCAUUAACGAUAAAUCUAGUCUUCAUAAAAGAAUUCCAGCGUCGGGAUUAAUUGAACAUAGAUUAAAGUACUUACGAAGGAAACACAAGGCCGGGGCAACAAGUAAAUCUAAAGAUUUUAUUUGUUUGAUGUCAGAAAGCCCAUCGGAAGAUGAAUAUGAAAAAAAAUCGUGGCUCUCUUACUCUUCAACUCCUUUGUAUCAAGUUGCUGAAUACAUGGCAGAAACAUUUCGCUUGAGAUCAGAAGAGCUAAGAAAUACUGAUAAUUUAUCCGUAACACUUAGCCAAUGGCCACGUCUGAUUGACACUCCGGGGAUGAUUGAUCAAGAUUUUUCAGUGCGAUAUCCGGGUAAACAAGAAAUUGUGCUUCAUAAAUGGGACUCAAUUUCCAAACAAAUUUUGAAGUUUGCAAAAAAGACAAAACUUGAUGUUUGCCGAGAAAUAGGAAUUACCCAAAAUAUCAAUGAAUGGUCUGCAGAUCAAAUUAACGUCGGAUCCUUAAUUUUGCUACCGUAUCUCUUAUCAAAAUCUGCAUAUACUAAAGGUAGCAAAAAAAGACGAAAAAUAACAGGUGGCCAAUCUGCAGAUUUUUUUAUUAAAUUCAUAAAGACAAAUGAAGAUUUAGAAGAAUUUCGGUUAUCAGAAUCAGUGAGAAAACAGCCAUUCGUUUUGUGUCUCGGAAAUUUGAAGAACCUCGAGAUUCAACAAGCAUACAUCAUGGUGGAAAGACGCCUCAUGUUAGCAGAAUCUCUUGUCAAAGCAGUGGAUACAUGCUUCAAAAUAUUCUACGUUCUGCAGCUGCAAUUUCCAGAAGAGUGCUCCGGGGUUUGGUGCUUUUUCGACCACACUGUAUUUCAAACCAACGAAAUUAAGUCGCCAACAUCGUCAGUUUUGUCUCUGGGGAGUCAAAUCGAUUUGGAAGAGCGACCAAACGAGAAUUUAUUGGUUUAAUAUUAAAAAUAUUUAUAUAUUUAUACAUUUUUAUGAAAAUUAAUACUACUGUAGUUAUACAGAACUAAUAGUCAGUUUAAUUAUCAGUAUUUGUGAAACGCUUAAUUAUUUUAGUGCCCAUAAUUUGAUGAUC
Molecule: RNA transcript, 5630 nt
Organism: Folsomia candida
Lineage: Eukaryota; Metazoa; Arthropoda; Collembola; Entomobryomorpha; Isotomidae
Exons: 11
Source: RefSeq, a predicted model, not a curated record